CUUUAAUAACGGAGAACAUUAUGGAUUGGCUUUUGGAUCUCUAGAUAGUAAUGGAGCGCAUGUUUUCCACCAAACAGAAAGCGGAUGCCAAACCAUGUAUAUCCUCCCUGACACAAACAUACAGCUGCGCGUUGAUAAUUUUCAAGAUCCUCAGCAUGUGUUGACAAAAAAAGAACAAGAGGAUAUACAAGAAAGACUUAAUCAAUGCCAUAAAAUAAAUAACGAUGCGCCUAGCAACAAAUGUUGUGGAAAAUUUAACCAUAUAGACAACAACUGUGAACACACUGCCACCUAUAUCCGUUAUGGAAUGCAUGGAAGAGUGUCCUGUUUGGCCUGGUGGCGGUCUGAUGUCAAAAAUACGGUCUAUUACAUUGGGGAAUAUCGUGGUUACCGUCCUAUGCAGUGUACAUGCUGGACACCACC
Long non-coding RNA from Alosa alosa (allis shad), 423 nucleotides. RefSeq lists it as uncharacterized. Lineage: Eukaryota; Metazoa; Chordata; Actinopteri; Clupeiformes; Clupeidae. The transcript has 3 exons. The record is from RefSeq and is a predicted model, not a curated record.